AUGCAGGUAUAAUCCAGAAAGGAGCACAUAUUUUAAAUCUUACACAAAAAUCUGACUUCCCUGUAGAAUUCCAACCUGGUUUCUUUUGUUUUGUAACACAAAAGAAAGCUUGGGUAAAUAUGUAAAGAACUGAUUAUUCAUUAUUACUUAGCUAGUGGGUUUGGCUCUGACAUUUCCUUCUUUGUUUUCAUUCAGACUGCCUACCAAAUACUACAAAGCUCCUUUUGACAAUGCUAAGCAGGAAUAGACAUGAAGAAAAUCUGUGACUAUCUCAGACUGAUUUAGAAAGACAGUUUCAAAUUUGAGUAUUAAAAUGCUGGGCCAAUGCUGACUAAGAAAAGAAAUAAAAUUUGCAAAUAUGAGAUGUAUAGGAAAGAUGGAAGACCAAUUAAAAAUGAUAAAAAAUCAAAUUAAAAGCAUGAAAAUAUAGACAGAAGAAAUUUAGACUAGAAAUCUUCCAGAAAGUGAAGAGAUGCCACAGAAUUCUUAUUUAUUCUUUCCAAUGUUUUUCACAGAAUCUCAAAACUGGAUCACAAAUAUAAAGUAACAGUUUCAUUUCUCAGGGGAUAAAAUAUCAUCACUAAGGACACAUAAUUAAAACACAGAAGAAUGGAAAAAGCAAUUGAAAACAAAGCUGUAGGGGCCUCACUGGUGCCAAGAGUAGCAUAAAAUAGGUUUUCUAUUUCUGAGGAGAGUGAUUGUAGCAAAAGUAAAAGACUUGCAGCCGUAGGAAAAAGGACGCUGCAUGAGAGAGUCUUGGGUUUUUAAAGAAGAUGUGAUUAUAGAGGGAGGAUCCUCCAGCAGUAAAACACAUGCACAGGACAGUAGAACAUCUCUUACACACACCUCAAACCAUUCCUGCUGAAUGCAGAGACAAGGUGACUUUGCUGAGCAAAGGCCACAGUUUCAGACAUAUAUCUUUUGCUCAUCUUUUACAGCCAUCUGAAUAUACCACCAAAAUCUGAUGCACCAUGAAAUCUUCAAGAAACUCCUGCUCUGGGAUCUUUUGUUCAUUUUGCCACUUUUCACAUCUGAACUCCUCCCUCUUCAACAACCCAAAGUGUAUCCUUUGACCUUGACCAGUACUACUUUUCUCCCUGCUGAUGGGAUAGACAGCAGCAGUACACAGGACGUUGGGAAAAUUGGAAUUUGGAGCAGGAACUCAGUGAACUCACAAGACCCCUAGGGUUGAGGGAUUACUGGAAAGCUCCUGGAGCAAUGUUUGUUUUCACCCAUUGGAACUGGAAAGAGUGCCAGAUCCUACAUUAACACUGGGCUAAUUUACCCAAAGGUGAGAGGCAGAACUUACUGCUUCCUUCCUGUUCUUUUUACCAUUUCAGUCCACAGAACUCAGAAGAAACAGGCACUAAAUUCUAUCAUUAAAUAAUAAAAAUGAAAUUGCUUGUUUCA
RNAcentral lists this long non-coding RNA (1410 nucleotides) under Zonotrichia albicollis (white-throated sparrow). RNAcentral's name for it is "lncRNA (ENSZALG00000014813.1)". Lineage: Eukaryota; Metazoa; Chordata; Aves; Passeriformes; Passerellidae. The record is from RNAcentral.